UUGACCUCAAAUCAGGUAGGACUACCCGCUGAACUUAAGCAUAUCAAUAAGCGGAGGAAAAGAAACUAACAAGGAUUCCCCUAGUAACUGCGAGUGAAGCGGGAAAAGCUCAAAUUUGAAAUCUGACGGUUCUUGAUCGUCCGAGUUGUAAUCUAGAGAAGUGUUACCUGUGCUGGACCGUGUUCAAGUCUCCUGGAAUGGAGCAUCAUAGAGGGUGAGAAUCCCGUCUUUGACACGGACUGCCUGUACGCCGUGGUGCGCUCUCAAAGAGUCGAGUUGUUUGGGAAUGCAGCUCAAAAUGGGUGGUAAAUGCCAUCUAAAGCUAAAUAUUGGCGAGAGACCGAUAGCGAACAAGUACCGUGAGGGAAAGAUGAAAAGUACUUUGGAAAGAGAGUUAAACAGUACGUGAAAUUGCUGAAAGGGAAACGCUUGAAGUCAGUCGUGUCGGCCAGAAAUCAGCCUUGCUUUUGCCUGGUGUACUUUCUGGUUUGAUGGGUCAGCAUCAAUUUUGGCCAUCAGACAAAGUCUUUGGGAAUGUGGCAUCUUUGGAUGUGUUAUAGCCCAUUGUCGCAUACGGUGGUUGGGAUUGAGGAAUUCAGCACGCCUCGCAAGGGGCCGGGUAUUUAUACCAC
Molecule: ribosomal RNA, 632 nt
Filed under: Inocybe mixtilis
Lineage: Eukaryota; Fungi; Basidiomycota; Agaricomycetes; Agaricales; Inocybaceae
Description: eukaryotic LSU rRNA
Rfam family: Eukaryotic large subunit ribosomal RNA
Source: RNAcentral